Molecule: ribosomal RNA, 468 nt
Filed under: uncultured bacterium
Lineage: Bacteria
Description: partial 16S ribosomal RNA
Rfam family: Bacterial small subunit ribosomal RNA
Source: RNAcentral
GACGAACGCUGGCGGCGUGCUUAACACAUGCAAGUCGAACGGAAAGGCCCUGCUUUUGUGGGGUGCUCGUGUGGCGAACGGGUGAGUAACACGUGAGUAACCUGCCCUUGUCUUUGGGAUAACUUCAGGAAACUGGGGCUAAUACCGGAUAGGAGCUCCUGCUGCAUGGUGGGGGAUGGAAAGUUUCGGCGGUUGGGGAUGGGCUCGCGGCUUAUCAGCUUGUUGGUGGGGUAGUGGCUUACCAAGGCUUUGACGGGUAGCAGGCCUGAGAGGGUGACCGGCCACACUGGGACUGAGAUACGGCCCAGACUGCUACGGGAGGGAGCAGUGGGGAAGAUUGCAGAAUGGGCGGAAGCCUGAUGCAGCAACGCCGCGGGCGGGAUGACGGCCUUCGGGUUGAAGACCACUUGCGCAUGUGACGAAGCGUGAGUGACGGUAAUGGGUAAAGAAGCACCGGCUAACUAAGUG